This 64-nucleotide ribosomal RNA is filed under the name Mycosphaerella sp. KLJ 02.03-1a. Its description in RNAcentral is "partial 28S ribosomal RNA". The record is from RNAcentral. Lineage: Eukaryota; Fungi; Ascomycota; Dothideomycetes; Mycosphaerellales; Mycosphaerellaceae.
GUUGACCUCGGAUCAGGUAGGGAUACCCGCUGAACUUAAGCAUAUCAAUAACGGGAGGAACCGG